GUAUUAUAGCUUGGUGGAGGUAGAGCGACUGGUUGGUUGAGCGGGACUACAAUCUUAGCAAUGUCAGCCAAACUCCGAAUGCCACUAAUUGUGUUGUACGGCAGUGAGACUGUGGGGGAUAAGCUUCAUAGUCGAGAGGGAAACAGCCCAGAUCGCCGGUUAAGGCCCCUAAGGGUGUACUAAGUGGAAAAGGAUGUGGGAUCGCGAAGACAGCCAGGAGGUUGGCUUAGAAGCAGCCAUCCUUGAAAGAGUGCGUAAUAGCUCACUGGUCGAGUGGUUCUGCGCCGACAAUGUAGUGGGGCUCAAGUACACCGCCGAAGCCGCGGCAAACUUUUUUGUUUGGGUAGGGGAGCGUCGUGCAUGGGUUGAAGCGUUACCGUAAGGAGGCGUGGACUGUGUG
This 400-nucleotide ribosomal RNA is filed under the name Helicobacter pylori. RNAcentral's name for it is "bacterial LSU rRNA". It matches the Rfam family "Bacterial large subunit ribosomal RNA", at positions 884 to 1284 of the family's 2925-position model. The record is from RNAcentral. Lineage: Bacteria; Pseudomonadati; Campylobacterota; Epsilonproteobacteria; Campylobacterales; Helicobacteraceae.